RNAcentral lists this small nuclear RNA (318 nucleotides) under Erinaceus europaeus (western European hedgehog). RNAcentral describes it as "7SK RNA". It matches the Rfam family "7SK RNA". Rfam says of the family: 7SK was discovered as an abundant small nuclear RNA in the mid-70s but a possible function has only recently been suggested. Lineage: Eukaryota; Metazoa; Chordata; Mammalia; Eulipotyphla; Erinaceidae. The record is from Rfam by way of RNAcentral.
AGAUGUGAGGGCGAUCUGGCUGCAACAUCUGUUACCCCACUGGUCUUCAGGGUUGAUUCAGAUGAUCUGACUGGCUAGGCCAUUGUCCCCUUCUCCCCUCACCAUUCCAUGUGCGUCCCUCCAGAAGCUGUGCAUUUGGUCAAAGAGGACCUUCCCAGAAAACAGACUGACCCAUUAUCAGCCAAGGUUAUAUAAGUAGCUACACUCGCCUGCUAGAAUUUCCAAACACACUCUCAAAGUCCAUUUGUAGAAGGUAGGGUACUCAAGUUUCCAAAUGAAACACAAACAGGUGCAUUCAUAGGAAGGCUGAUCUAUUUU